CGAUGCCGUUGUGUUGACUACGAGAAACGUAACACAGGACCGUCACUCGUCGACAACUGUCACUUGCACCACAGCCAUUAAAUCGAAAUUUUUUUUAUUUACUUCACUUUCUCUGAUGCUUCAAUCAAAACUUUCUUCAGGUAUUUGUUCAUACGGCCCUGGAAUGAUGAGACUCGUGGACGGAGCUGCCAUCUACAACUAGCAAAUUUUAUGCUCAUCUGCUUGUGUAAUCAUUAUAGGAACUUUUCUAUCACCAAGUCCCUGUGGCGCAGAGGAUAGCGCGUUGGACUUCUAAUCCAAAGGUCGUGGGUUCGAUCCCCACCAGGGAUGACUCUAUCGAGUAGAGAUUAUACUCUGCUCUUUUUUGCAAUUUAUUUCAAGGGAUUUAGUAAUGGUUUGACAUUUAAAA
Molecule: long non-coding RNA, 409 nt
Organism: Chelonus insularis
Lineage: Eukaryota; Metazoa; Arthropoda; Insecta; Hymenoptera; Braconidae
Exons: 2
Source: RefSeq, a predicted model, not a curated record